AAUGGCUCAUUAAAUCAGUUAUCGUUUAUUUGAUAAUACCUUACUACUUGGAUAACCGUGGUAAUUCUAGAGCUAAUACAUGCUAAAAACCCCAACUUCGGGAGGGGUGUAUUUAUUAGAUAAAAAACCAAUGCCCUUCGGGGCUCCUUGGUGAUUCAUAAUAACUUCUCAGAUCGCACGUGCCUUGCGCCGGCGACGGUUCAUUCAAAUUUCUGCCCUAUCAACUUUCGAUGGUAAGGUAUUGGCUUACCAUGGUUUCAACGGGUAACGGGGAAUUAGGGUUCGAUUCCGGAGAGGGAGCCUGAGAAACGGCUACCACAUCCAAGGAAGGCAGCAGGCGCGCAAAUUACCCAAUUCCGACUUGGAGAGGUAGUGACAAUAAAUACUGAUACAGGGCUCUUUUGGGUCUUGUAAUUGGAAUGAGUACAAUUUAAACCUCUUAACGAGGAACAAUUGGAGGGCAAGUCUGGUGCCAGCAGCCGCGGUAAUUCCAGCUCCAAUAGCGUAUAUUAAAGUUGUUGCAGUUAAAAAGCUCGUAGUUGAACCUUUGGCCUGGCUGGCAGGUCCGCCUCACCGCGUGCACUUGUCCGGCCGGGCCUUUUCUUCUGGAGAACCGCAUGCCCUUCACUGGGUGUGUUGGGGACCAGGACUUUUACUUUGAAAAAAUUAGAGUGUUCAAAGCAGGCCUUUGCUCGAAUACGUUAGCAUGGAAUAAUAGAAUAGGACGUGCGGUCCUAUUUUGUUGGUUUCUAGGACCGCCGUAAUGAUUAAUAGGGACAGUCGGGGGCAUCAGUAUUCAAUUGUCAGAGGUGAAAUUCUUGGAUUUAUUGAAGACUAACUACUGCGAAAGCAUUUGCCAAGGAUGUUUUCAUUAAUCAGUGAACGAAAGUUAGGGGAUCGAAGACGAUCAGAUACCGUCGUAGUCUUAACCAUAAACUAUGCCGACUAGGGAUCGGGCGGUGUUUCUAUUGUGA
RNAcentral lists this ribosomal RNA (974 nucleotides) under Letendraea helminthicola. RNAcentral describes it as "SSU rRNA". It matches the Rfam family "Eukaryotic small subunit ribosomal RNA", at positions 92 to 1074 of the family's 1831-position model. The record is from RNAcentral. Lineage: Eukaryota; Fungi; Ascomycota; Dothideomycetes; Pleosporales; Didymosphaeriaceae.